GAAUGAGGUGAUGAUUUGGAUUUUUGUUCCCUAUUGGAUUGAUUCGCCAGAAUGAUGGCUUCAAAUGUAUUAGCUCUAGCUGAUCGUUC
This is a small nucleolar RNA of Cannabis sativa, 89 nucleotides long. RefSeq annotates it as small nucleolar RNA Z102/R77. The transcript has a single exon. Lineage: Eukaryota; Viridiplantae; Streptophyta; Magnoliopsida; Rosales; Cannabaceae. The record is from RefSeq and is a predicted model, not a curated record.